Molecule: long non-coding RNA, 1021 nt
Filed under: Struthio camelus australis
Lineage: Eukaryota; Metazoa; Chordata; Aves; Struthioniformes; Struthionidae
Description: lncRNA (ENSSCUG00000000519.1)
Source: RNAcentral
UCUUAUUCUGUAGUGCAGACUUUACAUUUUUAAUUGACUAAUUACUUUCUUGUAAAUUAUUCACACGAAGUAGAACCACUUUGUUCCAAUAGCAUAUUGUAUUGCCUGGACUUAAACUAUUUUUUUUUUAAAUAGGAUUAAAGAAUUUAUCACAUGUCAGUCUCUUUGACUUUAAGCAUUAUUUCCAAAUAUUUUUAUUUAUUUUACAGUGUAUUUAUUUGUCAAUACACUUCUGAUUUGAUGCCAACUGAGAAUAUGGGAGAAUUUCAUCAUUACUUACCGUAUGAAUCUUUUCUGUCUCUAUUAAAUAGAAGCCUGAGAACAGGAAAAGAGAAGAAAUGGUGUAUGGAUACACAAGUUCUGUGAACAAAUGAACAAGCAGUAGUGAGGAACAACAAGUCCAGUGAAGGGCUACUAAGAUGAUGAGGGGACUGGAGCAUCUCCCCAUGAGGAAAGGCUGAGAGAGCUGGGCCUGUUCAGCCUGGAGAAGAGAAGACUGAGGGGGGAUCUUAUCAAUUGGAAGCAAAAGUGUCAAGAGGAUGGGGCCAGACUCUUCUCCGUGGUGCCCAGUGAAAGGACAAGAGGCAACGGGCACAAACUGAAACACGGGAAUUUCCGUCUGCACAUGGGGAGAAACUUCUUUACUGUGAGGGUGACUGAGCACUGGAACAGGCUGCCCAGAGAGGCUGUGGAGUCUCCUUCCCUGGAGGUAUUCAAAAGCCGUCUGGACACAUUCCUGGGAAAUGUGCUCUAGGUGACCCUGCUUGAGCAGGGGGGUUGGACUAGAUGAUCUCCAGAGGUCCCUUCCAACCUCAACCAUUCUGUGAUUCUGUGAGGAGUAGAAGGAUCUAUGAAUUUUUUUCCUUUCCCCUUUCCCGAAACAGAUCAGCUGGUGGGUAGGCUGCGUAAGACAGAGAGAGUUUAUUCUCUUUGAUAGCUAUCACAUCUUUAAUGAAGAAAAAGAAAAGAAGACAUUUUAUUAGAAAAAAAGAAAAAAUAAACAGAAGAAACAAUACCCGCA